GCCCGCUGCAGGCGGCUGGUGGUCCAGGGAAGCGGCGUCGACUGCGUGCAAAACAACCGCCGCCAACGCAACUCCACACCUCCCAGACCCACACGUCAAAGAACGCGAACCCCGCGGCCCCAACUUCUGGCCUCUCCGCUCCGGCGCCUGCAGCCCCGCGGGGAAGGGGCGACGCGAGGGGGCGCAGGGACAGCCCCGCACCUGGGAGGCCCGAGGGGGCGCCCGGGAGGGAGGGGCUGCAAACGGCGGCGAGCGCGCGCGGCAACCGCCAAACGCCCGCCUUUGUAGCCCCGGCCCCGCGUCCUUACCCUGCCGACGGCUGCUCGGCUCCGGCCCGCGGCGGCGGCCCCAGAGCCGAGGACCGGGGUGGGCUCGCGCUCUUCGUCACUGGAGAAGUCCGGGGGCCCCUUGCUGUUGGUGCCGGCGGGGAGCGGCGGCCGGUUGCGAGCCGUGAGGUGCUGCAGGUAGAGCUGGACGUACACGUCUUUGCGCUGCUCCCCGGCCGGCAGCGUCACAUUGUUGGCGACCAACUCACUCUUCAACUUGUCUUUUGUCAGGACCGAGGGGUCUUCCAGGAACUCCGGCAUCUCGGGGAUCUGCGAAGCCCCCUCCCCACAGCCUUUGCCGCCGCCGCUCACGCCGGCGCGCUUGCUCCUGGCCGGGGACCGCGCUGCCGCCUCCGAGCCUCACGGCUCCUGCCCGGGAAGAGCGCUGCGGAGCGGAACAAAAACUCGCGGACACAAAGCCAAGCCAGACCCGGACACAAAAGACCCCAGAGCCGAACUACGAACCAACUGCGGCCAAGCUGGAAGCUCGCACCAACCCCAGCCCACACACUACAGGCAGGAGGCGAGCAGCCUGCUUCGCCCACGCCCCAAGAACGCGCGCCGCCAUUGGCGGGCGACGGGAGGAAGCGCGGCGGUGAUUGGCGAGACGGCUCGCGCGGGUUCCAUUAGCCGCCGCGCUGAGCGAGAGGAGACGCCGAUAAGGGACAGGUCGUACUGCUUUUGUGCGCCGUUUCCUCUCCCUCCCCCAGCUUGAGAAGCAGCUUUCGUCUCUGGGGUCGAUCGCCUACGAACGCGCCGAAUUCCACGCCAGUGUGAGGACCCUUGGCUGGGCCUUUCUUCCUCCCGGGACACUGAAGCUCCAAGAGUAGCCGCAGCCUUGCCUUCCCCAAACGCUAGCCCUGAAGGGGAAGAAAAGAAGCGAGGCUUGUCUGCAGGCACUCAUAUUCCUUGAUUUGAUUUACUUUGGGAGGGGGAGGGCGGGGAGUUACCCCUCUCCUCGCGAACGCUUCUUUUGUUCCAGAAACCCAGGGGAAGCCAGACCUCUACAAUCGGGCACUUAAAUUACCCUUGAAUUUGUGACAAAAGUGUACUAUACCAUUCACUUCUUAGUGUCAUAGUUGGGGCAUGUCUAAAUUGUUUAAUUUGAACAGUGCGUUCAGACGCAAGACAAAUUCGCGCUUGCAUUUUUGUUGAAACCGUCUCUGGCUUUGGAUCCCACCACCCGCAAGAAUCCUAAACCUAACGUUUGAUAACAAAACGAAGGAGAACCCUUGGGAACCCCCUCAAUGGUCAAUUUAAAAUAACAGAUGGUGCAUAAUCCUAAAGGAAGACUAGUGACCUAUAAUUAGGCCUAGAACCCUAAUCAAACCCGUAUUACCGAUCCAAAUUAAAACCUGGUAGAAUCUAAUACAUUGACUGCAAUUAAAAUGUUUGCCUGGAAAUUAGUAUCACUGAUGACAAAUAUUUGUAUUUCUGAUGAAUAUGUAUGUUUAAAGAUGCUUUCUUUCUAGAAAGGAAAGGAGACCUUGGAUGUAGGGUGUGUUAAUCAUUUCCCCAGAAUCUGAGCUCCAAACUAUGUUUUAGAAACUGGUUAAAUUUUUUUUAAAUGUUUGCCUGCUUUCUACAUUGCUAGGUUAGAAUACAUUUAAAACAAACGCCUUCACUAAAAAUGUUUCCUAUGAUUUAAGCGACUUACUUUUAUUCAAAUUGCGAUAUUAUUUCUUUUAGUGAUAAUUAUUUUCCUAGAGGUAACUAAUUCCUUUAUAAAAAUCUCAGUAUUCACAUACAUUUAAGCAAUGGUAUUAAGCUCAAUAAUGCAAAUUAAAAAUCAGGUUUUAAUUAGCAAGUUGUUAGGUAGGUUUUUAUGAUCCCUUGUAAAAGUUGCUUGGUUUUUUGUCCUCACAGCUUCCCUGGACACAUAGGCAAAUGUUUUUAUCUUCAGAAGGGGAACUGAGCUGAGAGGCAAAGGACCAUGACUUUGCAAUGACUGGUAACCCAGUACGUAUAAUGCAAGAACUGCAUUCUAGAUACGCCUGAAAUUAAUGUUUCCUGGGCAAAAACAUUUUCAUUAUCUUUUUUUUAAUCCCUGGACAUUAGCUACAGGUGGUUACUUGCAGAUUUACUGCUGUAGAGCUCCAAAAUUGAGAUUACACUUUUCAGAUUCUGCGUACCCUAAGGCUAAGAGGUUGGGCUAUUGAGUUUGGGUGGUCUCUUUGGUCCUGAUUGCUACUUCCAAACCAUUUCUGCUCUUUUCUGCUUCAAAAAUAUUUGAAGUUCAUAUCUUCUGGCUAAAUCACUUUCUACUCUCCUUCCUGCCAUCAUCCACGAGCCUCCUGGUCACUUUCCAGAAAUUAUAGAGCUGCUUGCCGUAGGUUUUCCUCACCAUCCCUCUUGUCUACAUUCUAUCUGAAUUCAGCAUGCUUGUAGGUGACCCAUGCAACACCAACACUUGGCCUCUUAGACCUCUGACCUCUUCAUCUCCAACAAUUUGUUCCUCUCUUGCGUCUUAACCACUUCGGUAUCAGUCAGAUUCUGAACCUUGUCAUCAGUUGAAAUCUCAGUUUCAAGCUUCCCAAUUGUCAAUCACUAGCCUUUUUUUCCCAGCUAAUUUAUGGUACUCUCACUUACCUAAUUAAGACCUCCACGCUAUUAACCCCAACACUUAAAAAAACUCAACUCUUCUGCUUCUGCCAUCAUGUAAUAAUUUUGCAACUCACCUGACUUAAAUUCCCUGAUCAGUCCUUUUCAUCACUCUUUUACAAACAUUUUCAACUCUCUGAUCUCAAUGUCUCCUUUUUUGCUUGAAAGAAUCUCAGCCUUGCUUGGACUAAACCAUGCUCCAGCUGAACUUUCUCAUUGCUUACAUCCAAACAGCAAAAGCUGCUGGAGAAAAGUCAGUCAUAUAACAAGCUAACUGGUUUUAAUUCAUGACCUCAGUCCUCUCAGGAGCACUCAACACUGGCUGGCAAUGCUAUUCCAGUCUCUGGGUUAACCAUUCAUACGUUCACAUCUCCUCAAAUUUCACAUCCUUUUUCCCUACCUCUCAUUUUUAGCUGGUGACCUUGCCUCAACUUCAAAAAAUAAAAACCACCUAUGAGGAAUGCUUCAACGUCAGACUUUCCAAUUUGCAUUCAUUUUCUCUUGCAUUUUUCUUUUCAGUGAAAGAUGUGUCCUGUCAGAAGGAAAUUCCACCACUUGUACUCUGGCUCUCACCCUUCUCAAGGAAUUGACUCUUUCCAUCAUCUCCUUAAUACUUGUUUCAACAUAAAAGAUAAUUUUUAAAAUAUUUGAUCAAUGUGACACAAAAAACACAAAGGCUGAGCACUGUGGCUCACGCCUGUAAUCCCAACACUUUGGGAGGCUGAGACAGGCGGAUCCCUUGAGCUUAGGAGUUCAAGACUAGCCUGGGCAAAACAGUAAAACCCCCUCUCUACAAAAAAAUACAAAAUUUAGCCAUGGUGCCCACCUGUAGUUCUAGCUACUAGGGAGACUGAGGUGGGAGGAUCACUUGAGCCUGGGAGGUUGAGGCUGCAGUGAGCCAUAAUCCUGUCACUGCAUUCCAGCCUGGGUGACAGAGUGAGACCCUGUCUCUAAAAUCAAUAUGUGUAAGAUGUAGAUUGGUCCCUUCCAGAAAGGCGGGACAACUAUUAAUAAAAGUGGGGGUUGGGGGGCUCGGGGUGUUCCAGGUCAUUGGUAGAUAAAAGUAAUUUUAAUUCAGAAAAUUUCACAGGGAAAUGAGAGUUUUUAGAAGUCUUAAUAUUCUGACUGUGGUCAGAAUGUCCAACAGAGACUAGGCUGGAGUGCAGUGACGUAGUCUCGGCUCACUGCAACCUCCGCCUCCCAGGUUCAAGCAAUUCUCCUUGCCCCAGCCUCCAGAGUAGCUGGGACUACAGGCGCCUGCUAAUACACUCAUCUAAUUUGUUUGUAUUUUAGUAGAGACUGGGUUUCACCAUGUUGACCAGGCUGGUCUUGAACUCCUGACCUCAGGUGAUCCACCCGCCUCAGCCUCCCAAAGUUCUGGGAUUACAGGCAUGAGCCACUGUGCCUGGUGGAUGCAAAUUUUUUUUUUUUUUUUUUUGGAAAUGGAGUCUCCCUCUGUUGCCGAGCCUGGAGUGCAGUAGCACAAUCUCAGCCCACUGUAACCUCUGCCUCCCAGGUUCAAGCAAUUCUUCUGCCUCAGCCUCCCAAGUAGCUGGGAUUACAGGCGCCUGCUGCCACGCCCAGCUAAUUUUUUUGUAAUAUAGUAGAGACAAGAGUUUCACCAUGUUGACCAGGCUGGUCUCAAACUCCUGACCUCAGGCAAUCCACCCGCCUCAGCCUCCCAAAUUGCUGGGAUUACAGGCAUGAGCCACUGCGUCUGGCCUGAUGCAAUUUUUUUUUUUUUUAAAUCAGAAAACUUUCCCAUAACUUAAAAAAAAAUCAUCUGGAGGUGGGCCCGGUGGCUCACGCCUGUAAUCCCAGCACUUUGGGAGGCUGAGGCAGGCAGAUCACCUGAGGUCGGGAAUUUGAGACCAUGUGGAGAAACCCCGUCUCUACUAAAAAUACAAAAUUAGCCUGGCGUGGUGGCGCAUGCCUGUAAUCCAAGCUACACGGGAGGCUGAGGCAGGAGAAUCACUUGAACCCGGGAGGCGGAGGUUGUGGUGAACCGAGAUCGUGCAAUUGCAUUCCAGCCUGGGCAACACGAGCGAAACUCCAUCUCAAAACAAACAAACAAACAAAAAUCACCUGGAUAACUGCCUCCAUUCUUUUUUUGAAGUUCUUAAUAUUAUUAACAUACAGCUGGCUUUGUUUUUCAUUAUCCCAUUUUGCGGAGGAUUGGUUGUGAAUUUAAGGGUGUCACCUCAAACAGGAGGGUAAGUUGCACUUUAAGUGAUGUAAAAUAGUAAGAAGCUAAAAACCUUAAAAAAUGUUUAGUUCUCGGCCGGGCGUCGUGGCUCAUGCCUGUAAUUCCAGCACUUUGGGAGGCUGGGGUGGGCGGAUCACUUGAAGUCAUGAGUUCGAGCUCAGCCUGGCCAAGAAAUUAAAAAAUUAGCUGGGCCUUGUGGUGGGCGCCUGUAAUCUCAGCUACUAGGGAGGCUGAGGUAGGAGAAUCGCUUGAACCCGGGAGGCAGAGGUUGCAGUGAGCCGAGAUCGUGCCACUGCACUCCAGCCUGGGCGACCGAUCAAGACUCCAUCUUAAAAAAAAAUAAUAAGAGGGGCCAGGAGCGGUGGCUCACACCGGUAAUCCCAGCACUUGGGGAGGCCAAGGCGGGCAGAUCACAUCAGGAGUUCGAGACCAGCCUGACCAACAUGGUGGAAGCCCCUCUCUACUGAAAAUACAAAAGUUAGCCGUGCCUGGUGGCAUGCGCCUGUAAUCCCAGCUACUUGGGAGGCUGAGGUGGGAGAAUCCCUUGAACCCGGGAGGCGGAGGUUGCAGUGAGCUGAGAUGGCACCAUUGCACUCCAGCCUGGGCAACAGAACGAGACUCGGUCUCUCAAAAAAAAAAAAAGUUUAGCUCCCUUAAGCCAUUUCUGAUAAUUUAUUCUAAAGAUAAAAUCAAAUGUGGAAUUCAUUUAUAAAGGUAUUUAUUGCUUCAUUUAUAAUGGUGAAAAAAAUAAAAAAUCUCUAUCUCCAAUAGUAAGGAAUUGGUUGUUUAUGAUAUAUCCAUAUGACAAAAUAAUGCAC
RNAcentral lists this long non-coding RNA (5951 nucleotides) under Homo sapiens (human). Its description in RNAcentral is "non-protein coding TMPO-AS1:9". The record is from RNAcentral. Lineage: Eukaryota; Metazoa; Chordata; Mammalia; Primates; Hominidae.